GCCCAGCUAGCUCAGUUGGUAGAGCACGAGACUCUUAAUCUCGUGGGUUUGAUGGGUGGUUGUGGGUUUGAUCCCCAUAUUGGGCG
Non-coding RNA from Grammomys surdaster, 86 nucleotides. NCBI's taxonomy places the organism in Eukaryota, Metazoa, Chordata, Mammalia, Rodentia, Muridae. The record is from the annotation of a RefSeq genome assembly.